Non-coding RNA from Acanthosepion pharaonis, 112 nucleotides. The record is from the annotation of a GenBank genome assembly. NCBI's taxonomy places the organism in Eukaryota, Metazoa, Mollusca, Cephalopoda, Sepiida, Sepiidae.
ACAGCCACAUCACAUUGAAACACCAGUUCCCGAAAGAUCACUGAAGUUAAGCAAUGUUGAGUCUGGUCAGUACCUAUAUAGGUGACUGAUUGAGAAUACCAGGUGUUGUAAG